Molecule: non-coding RNA, 501 nt
Organism: Sturnus vulgaris (Common starling)
Lineage: Eukaryota; Metazoa; Chordata; Aves; Passeriformes; Sturnidae
Source: RefSeq, a predicted model, not a curated record
CUUAAGUAAAUUCUGAUGAUUCUCAUUUCUAGAUUCAGCAUUGUUUUUGCUGUCUGGAAAGAAAAUGCUCUAGCAUGGUGCUGAUUUGUUCAAGAAGGAGCAUGUUAUUUCAGCCACUGUUGGAGUGCUGUGUCCUUUUGGAAACAACACAAAACUAAGAGCUUUGGUUUCCUUUGUUUCAUUCUAGAUAUUUGCCCUGUUGUCCUCAAGCAGCCUCUGGAGGCUUGAGAAGAAUUUUGAGUGUUGCAGGAUAACUAUUAUGUGAUAUGGUCCCAGACAUGAUAAUUUCUGCCUUUGUCACUCAAGAAGAAGGGAGAAGCUGACGGCUUUGCUGCUUUCCUGAAGAGAGGAGUUCCAUAUAAGGGACAACUUUUAGUAUAGAAGAUGAAGUGGUGAAAAAACAAAGAUGAAGACAACAUGAACCUGCCAAGCAAGGUGCAUUACUGUACAUGGAAUGUUUAGCAAUAAACUAGGAUUGUUAGCAUACCUCCACCUCACAAA